This 712-nucleotide long non-coding RNA is filed under the name Malus domestica (apple). Its description in RNAcentral is "long non-coding RNA (MDOM_LNC000358)". The record is from RNAcentral. Lineage: Eukaryota; Viridiplantae; Streptophyta; Magnoliopsida; Rosales; Rosaceae.
UCUCUCUCUAUUUCUUCAGUCAUCACAUCUAGGCUGAAUCGUCUUUCAAAGAUAAAAGGGAUAUGUCUUUUCUAAACUUCUAUAUCCCCUUCAAACUUCCUUUCUUAGAUCUGUGCUCCAGAAGCUAAUUGUACCAUCUCAUUAACAAUCAUGUUUGAUUUUCUGGGAAUAUGGCUAACUGAUACUUCAGUGCCCCAAUAGCUCAAUAGUUGUGUAGAUGCCAAAUAGUAACUUGCCAUGGUGAUGUGUCUGCACUUGUAUUCUCCAUUUAACUAAUUGAUCACAAAUUCUGAAUCACCAAACACCUCAACUUCAAUUGCCCCCAACUCUAUCAAAAUUUCCAGGCCAAUUAUCAAUGCUUCAUAUUCUACCCGAUUGUUGGUAGUCUCUUGAUAAUCCAGAAGGAAUGAAUAGCAAUGGUGAGUACCCCUGGGAUCAAUGAUGACAAUCCUAGCUCCCACAACAGUUUGAGUGCAAGAACCAUCAAAAUACAGUCUCCAAUAAGUGAUCCAGAAGCUAGUUAUUCUUUUUAUUUCUUGUUGGACCUAUUCUUCUCUGCCUGAGAAGACUUUGCUUGGUGGGAUCCAUAUAUUGGCUACCUCCAAAGUUCCUAGGAUAUUGAUAAUCUCUUCUUGAGACUCCUGGUGCUCAGCCAAGAAGUCUGCAAUGGCUUAUCCCUUGAUCGCUCUUUAAGGCACAUAUUGAAAGUUGA